This 301-nucleotide ribosomal RNA is filed under the name uncultured bacterium. RNAcentral describes it as "partial 16S ribosomal RNA". It matches the Rfam family "Bacterial small subunit ribosomal RNA", at positions 509 to 807 of the family's 1533-position model. The record is from RNAcentral.
CAGUCGCCACGGUAAAACGUAGGGCGCAAGCGUUGUCCGGAAUUAUUGGGCGUAAAGAGCUCGUAGGCGGUCUGUCGCGUCUGGUGUGAAAUCCCGAGGCUCAACCUCGGGCUUGCAUCGGGUACGGGCAGACUAGAGUGCGGUAGGGGAGACUGGAAUUCCUGGUGUAGCGGUGGAAUGCGCAGAUAUCAGGAGGAACACCGAUGGCGAAGGCAGGUCUCUGGGCCGCAACUGACGCUGAGGAGCGAAAGCAUGGGGAGCGAACAGGAUUAGAUACCCCCGUAGUCCCUGUCUCUUAUAC